UUUUCUCUUCUCUCCAUCUUCACCACCCAUCGAUUUACUGCAACCAUCAAGGUAAUUUCUCCUAAUUCUUGUUUCUUCGAUUUUGCUUGUUGAAUUUGAAAGGGUUUUUGCACUUCUCUUCCAUUCUUGUUCUUCUUAAUCGAUGGCUAAAGGUCUUGAGUAGAUAUUGGUGGGAUGGAGUCUGUUGUGUGAGUGAGGAGGAGGGAUUACCGGAACAGUAGUUCCGGCGGCGUGGUGGCUGCCGGCAUGACUUUUGCUGUGUUUUUAUUUCCCCUGUUUUGUACAGCAGCAGGGUCGUAACUUGCGAUCCGUUUUCAUCUGUUUCUGUCAUCAAACCCCAUCAAUAUAGGUACCAUUGGAAAGCUAUCGUCGUUGGCUUUCCAACGGUACCUUCGGAUCGUCAAUCCGACACCGGACGAGGGAGUUAUGAGCCAAUCAAGUCAGGGUGUCGGGUCUGUGCGCGAAGGUUUCCGCGCGAGUUUGAGUCGACCUUCCGGCGUCAAAUCGAUGCCGUGAGGGAGAAUAAGUUUAGGGAUUUUGUAGCUCAUGUCGUAGACGUUCUAAUCAUAGGUUUUCUUCUUGAGAUCUAAGGUCGAAUUGGCCAGAAUAGACGUCGAGAUGUAGCUCCAUAUGUGUCGAAUAUGAGUUUUAAUAUGUUAUGCUUAUUUUAAUUUUUAUUUGGGAAUUUGAAUUAGAUUUUUGAUGAUUGUUUCACCUUGAACACAUAAAUAGAUAAUCAAGACAUUUGCUUUUAAUAUUAUUAGCCAAGAAUUGAAAUAAAUUAUAAGGAUUAUGGUGAUCUAAACUUAGUAUAUUAUAUAAUUAAAUGAUAUGAUUAUAAUGAAGUUAGAUUAGUAUAAUUUAUACUAGUAAUUGAAACUAUGAAUUUAUAAUUUGUAGAUUCAUAAAAUGUUCAAAAUAUGGUCUUCGGCUUCAAGUGUAUUGUAGAAUUAUCAAGAAUAUAUUCAAGAGAGAUUAAAAAUAUUGUUUAAAGAAAUGAGAGCUUAUUCAAGAAUAAGUGCUUGUAAUGAAACUAAGUUUAAAGUGUUUCAAGUGCUAGGAGCGGCGCAUCCAAGGCUCGAGGAGGACAACCGAAGCAAGCUUGAAGAGGUUUGAAUUCAAUCACUUAAGGUGGGGUUUACUUCUAUCUGUAAGCGUAGUUGUUACAUGGUUAUAAUCAUUGUUGUGUUGUGCGUCAUUCAUAUGAACUAAUGGGACCCACAAGGGGUCGGAUCCACAAGGGAUCAAAGAGCUGAACGGCCCACAAGGGGUCAGGUCCACAAGGGACCGAGACUAGUCUCACAAGAUGUCAGCUAAGUGAAAAAUAUAAGAGUUCAACAUGUUAUGAUUCAUUACACAAUUGGUUAUAACUGCUUGCAGUGUUUACCCCACUGAGUGUGCUUGCACACUCAUACCCUAUUAUUUAUGAUUCUUUUCAGGUUAAGGAGUUGACGGCAAGACGGCAGACAUGGAGCUCCACAUUCUCCCGUUCUAUUAUAUGAUGAAGUAUUAUAUGUUGCUG
Molecule: long non-coding RNA, 1522 nt
Filed under: Salvia miltiorrhiza (redroot sage)
Lineage: Eukaryota; Viridiplantae; Streptophyta; Magnoliopsida; Lamiales; Lamiaceae
Description: long non-coding RNA (SMIL_LNC011873)
Source: RNAcentral